CGCCGCUGGAGACUGCGUGGGCUCGCUGGAAGCUGGGACAGUCCCGACUGGGCCUGGCCUCAGAGGAAGAGGUGCCCGAAGACAGCUGAUCCCAUGGGUCUGGCCGGAUUUUCCACCCGGACGCCUGGGUUCCUGGCCACCCAAGGCUGGACACGUGAACUGAGUCGGAAACGUCGCCUGGCCCUUGAGAACCUGGGGGCCCCACUGAUUGUCAAUUGAUUUCUGCCCCCAGCCCCCCGGUUCACUGUCUCCCCCCGCGCCCCCCACCCAGGGCCGCACGCCCAGGCAGGGAGCGAAGGGCCGUGGGAAAUGGCCCCUUUCCCUCGCUGGCCGUGCAGCGCCGAGCACCCGAGGCCGGGCCACUGCUGCAAUAUGAUCAUAAAGAACCGUUGUAAUCGUCA
This is a long non-coding RNA of Mauremys reevesii (Reeves's turtle), 401 nucleotides long. RefSeq lists it as uncharacterized. NCBI's taxonomy places the organism in Eukaryota, Metazoa, Chordata, Testudines, Geoemydidae. The transcript has 4 exons. The record is from RefSeq and is a predicted model, not a curated record.